Molecule: ribosomal RNA, 268 nt
Filed under: uncultured prokaryote
Description: partial 16S ribosomal RNA
Rfam family: Bacterial small subunit ribosomal RNA
Source: RNAcentral
UACGUAGGGGCAAGCGUUGUCCGGAAUUAUUGGGCGUAAAGCGCGCGCAGGCGGUCUUUUAAGUCUGAUGUGAAAGCCCACGGCUUAACCGUGGAGGGUCAUUGGAAACUGAGGGACUUGAGUACAGAAGAGGAGAGUGGAAUUCCACGUGUAGCGGUGAAAUGCGUAGAGAUGUGGAGGAACACCAGUGGCGAAGGCGACUCUCUGGUCUGUAACUGACGCUGAGGUGCGAAAGCGUGGGUAGCAAACAGGAUUAGAUACCCUGGUA